Molecule: long non-coding RNA, 920 nt
Organism: Triplophysa rosa
Lineage: Eukaryota; Metazoa; Chordata; Actinopteri; Cypriniformes; Nemacheilidae
Exons: 3
Source: RefSeq, a predicted model, not a curated record
UUCUCUUUGAAGAUGGCGAUGAGCGUCCGUCGCUGCAGGUCCGUGAAGACCAGACGCUGUUUCUUGGGCACCAUGUUUCUGUCUUUGUGCUGCUCUUGUUCCUUUCUCUUGCAGGCUGUCACGAGAGACACGGAAAGACAGAACAGAAGGAGAGUGUAAAGAAAGCUGAACUGUGUGGAUUUAUAAACAUGCAGUUUGACAGAAUCAUGGUGAGGGGGGCCGCACAGGUCAGAAAGUUUUGGUGCAGAGAAAGAGAAGGAACGCGAAACCAGAAGCACCUGCAGCUUCGGCGAGACGCAGUCGCGAGAUGCACAACCGGGGUAAAAAACAGGAAAGUGUGUUGCAGGCACGGGGACACUAUGAUGUUGAGGCCUAAAGAAGAUACACAAAUAACUCAAACACGACUGUGACAGUGAUCAAUGAGACUAAUGCAUUUAACAAUAACAGACUCGUAUGCAUCAAAAUACUGACUUUAAUUAAUGAAUUCGCUUUCUUUUACCUCAAAGCUGUUACUGGACCAAAUCUGAACUAAUUUUGGAAUGACAAAACGAUGCAUAGACAUUUUAUCUGUUACCAAAGUAAAGAGAUCCAAACUGAUCCAACCGAGAUCGUGUUUUACUGCUCAACAUUACAGAAAGUCACGCAGGAAUGAAUGUGUGCUGGUGUGUUUUUCUUUUGGUCAAAUGUUAAGGCUGCAAUGAGAAGUCUGAAUGAUGUUCAAUAGUGUGACAUUUGACAAAUUAAGAUUGAUUUAUCAGAGAGAUCAUAAAUCCCUCCCAUGCAGAUGAGGAAAUGUGUAGAGUGAAAUUCGAGGCAGUUUUAUCAUGUACAGCAUGAAGCUGCUUAUAAAAGUCCAAACAUGAUUCUCUUAUAAUUAAUACAUCAAUUCAAACACUUAAGACACAAACAGCCAGCAGCAU